RNAcentral lists this ribosomal RNA (467 nucleotides) under uncultured bacterium. RNAcentral's name for it is "partial 16S ribosomal RNA". It matches the Rfam family "Bacterial small subunit ribosomal RNA", at positions 28 to 507 of the family's 1533-position model. The record is from RNAcentral.
GAUGAACGCUGACAGAAUGCUUAACACAUGCAAGUCAACUUGAAUUUGGGUUUUUAACUUAGGUUUGGGUGGCGGACGGGUGAGUAACGCGUAAAGAACUUGCCUCACAGCUAGGGACAACAUUUGGAAACGAAUGCUAAUACCUAAUAUUAUGAUAAUAGGGCAUCCUAUAAUUAUGAAAGCUAUAAGCGCUGUGAGAGAGCUUUGCGUCCCAUUAGCUAGUUGGAGAGGUAACGGCUCACCAAGGCGAUGAUGGGUAGCCGGCCUGAGAGGGUGAUCGGCCACAAGGGGACUGAGACACGGCCCUUACUCCUACGGGAGGCAGCAGUGGGGAAUAUUGGACAAUGGACCGAGAGUCUGAUCCAGCAAUUCUGUGUGCACGAUGAAGUUUUUCGGAAUGUAAAGUGCUUUCAGUUGGGAAGAAACAAAUGACGGUACCAACAGAAGAAGUGACGGCUAAAUACGCG